GAUGAACGCUGGCGGUAUGCUUUACACAUGCAAGUCGUACGAGAGUUUUUAACUCUAGUGGCGGACGGGUGAGUAACACGUAAGAAUUUGCCUUUAGGAGGGGGAUAACAACUGGAAACGGUUGCUAAUACCCCAUAUGCUUUCGAGUGAAAUGGAUUUCCGCCUAAAGAGAAGCUUGCGGCUGAUUAGCUUGUUGGUGAGGUAAUGGCUCACCAAGGCGACGAUCAGUAUCUGGUUUGAGAGGACGAUCAGACACACUGGAACUGAGACACGGUCCAGACUCCUACGGGAGGCAGCAGUGGGGAAUUUUCCGCAAUGGGCGCAAGCCUGACGGAGCAAUACCGCGUGAGGGAUGAAGGCCUAUGGGUUGUAAACCUCUUUUUUUAGGGAGGAACAAAAUGACGUGUACCUAAAGAAUAAGCAUCGGCUAACUCCGUGCCAGCAGCCGCGGUAAGACGGGGGAUGCAAGUGUUAUCCGGAAUCACUGGGCGUAAAGCGUCUGUAGGUGGUUAAGUAAGUCAACUGUUAAAUCUUGAGGCUUAACCUCAAAAUCGCAGUCGAAACUGUUUGACUAGAGUAUAGUAGGGGUAAAGGGAAUUUCCAGUGGAGCGGUGAAAUGCGUAGAUAUUGGAAAGAACACCGAUGGCGAAGGCACUUUACUGGGCUA
This 667-nucleotide ribosomal RNA is filed under the name uncultured bacterium. Its description in RNAcentral is "bacterial SSU rRNA". It matches the Rfam family "Bacterial small subunit ribosomal RNA", at positions 28 to 736 of the family's 1533-position model. The record is from RNAcentral.